GACGAACGCUGGCGGCGUGCCUAAUACAUGCAAGUAGAACGCUGAAGAGAGGAGCUUGCUCUUCUUGGAUGAGUUGCGAACGGGUGAGUAACGCGUAGGUAACCUGCCUUGUAGCGGGGGAUAACUAUUGGAAACGAUAGCUAAUACCGCAUAACAAUGGAUGACCCAUGUCAUUUAUUUGAAAGGGGCAAAUGCUCCACUACAAGAUGGACCUGCGUUGUAUUAGCUAGUAGGUGAGGUAACGGCUCACCUAGGCGACGAUACAUAGCCGACCUGAGAGGGUGAUCGGCCACACUGGGACUGAGACACGGCCCAGACUCCUACGGGAGGCAGCAGUAGGGAAUCUUCGGCAAUGGGGGCAACCCUGACCGAGCAACGCCGCGUGAGUGAAGAAGGUUUUCGGAUCGUAAAGCUCUGUUGUAAGUCAAGAACGAGUGUGAGAGUGGAAAGUUCACACUGUGACGGUAGCUUACCAGAAAGGGACGGCUAACUACGUGCCAGCAGCCGCGGUAAUACGUAGGUCCCGAGCGUUGUCCGGAUUUAUUGGGCGUAAAGCGAGCGCAGGCGGUUUGAUAAGUCUGAAGUUAAAGGCUGUGGCUCAACCAUAGUUCGCUUUGGAAACUGUCAAACUUGAGUGCAGAGGGGGAGAGUGGAAUUCCAUGUGUAGCGGUGAAAUGCGUAGAUAUAUGGAGGAACACCGGUGGCGAAAGCGGCUCUCUGGUCUGUAACUGACGCUGAGGCUCGAAAGCGUGGGGAGCGAACAGGAUUAGAUACCCUGGUAGUCCACGCCGUAAACGAUGAGUGCUAGGUGUUGGGUCCUUUCCGGGAUUCAGUGCCGCAGCUAACGCAUUAAGCACUCCGCCUGGGGAGUACGACCGCAAGGUUGAAACUCAAAGGAAUUGACGGGGGCCCGCACAAGCGGUGGAGCAUGUGGUUUAAUUCGAAGCAACGCGAAGAACCUUACCAGGUCUUGACAUCCCGAUGCUAUUUCUAGAGAUAGAAAGUUACUUCGGUACAUCGGUGACAGGUGGUGCAUGGUUGUCGUCAGCUCGUGUCGUGAGAUGUUGGGUUAAGUCCCGCAACGAGCGCAACCCCUAUUGUUAGUUUCCAUCAUUCAGUUGGGCACUCUAGCGAGACUGCCGGUAAUAAACCGGAGGAAGGUGGGGAUGACGUCAAAUCAUCAUGCCCCUUAUGACCUGGGCUACACACGUGCUACAAUGGUUGGUACAACGAGUUGCGAGUCGGUGACGGCAAGCUAAUCUCUUAAAGCCAAUCUCAGUUCGGAUUGUAGGCUGCAACUCGCCUACAUGAAGUCGGAAUCGCUAGUAAUCGCGGAUCAGCACGCCGCGGUGAAUACGUUCCCGGGCCU
Molecule: ribosomal RNA, 1369 nt
Filed under: uncultured bacterium
Lineage: Bacteria
Description: bacterial SSU rRNA
Rfam family: Bacterial small subunit ribosomal RNA
Source: RNAcentral